Molecule: ribosomal RNA, 332 nt
Filed under: uncultured Sandaracinus sp.
Lineage: Bacteria; Pseudomonadati; Myxococcota; Polyangiales; Sandaracinaceae
Description: bacterial SSU rRNA
Rfam family: Bacterial small subunit ribosomal RNA
Source: RNAcentral
CGUGUAGGCGGGAAGGAAAGUCAGAUGUGAAAUCCCCAGGCUCAACCUGGGAACUGCAUUUGAAACUCCCUUUCUUGAGUACCGGAGAGGAAAGUGGAAUUCCUGGUGUAGAGGUGAAAUUCGUAGAUAUCAGGAGGAACACCAGUGGCGAAGGCGGCUUUCUGGACGGUAACUGACGCUGAGACGCGAAAGCGUGGGGAGCAAACAGGAUUAGAUACCCUGGUAGUCCACGCUGUAAACGAUGAGUGCUAGGUGUCGUGGGUAUUGACCCCCGCGGUGCCGUAGCUAACGCAUUAAGCACUCCGCCUGGGAAGUACGGUCGCAAGACUAAA